Meriones unguiculatus (Mongolian gerbil) is the source of this 107-nucleotide small nuclear RNA. Lineage: Eukaryota; Metazoa; Chordata; Mammalia; Rodentia; Muridae. The record is from Ensembl.
UUGCUCACUUCAGCAGCAUAUAUACAAAAAUUGGAAUGAUACAGAGAAUAUUAGCAUGGCCCCUGUGCAAGAAUGGCAUGCGAAUUCAUGAAUCAUUCCCUAUUUUU